RNAcentral lists this ribosomal RNA (146 nucleotides) under uncultured eukaryote. RNAcentral's name for it is "partial 18S ribosomal RNA". It matches the Rfam family "Eukaryotic small subunit ribosomal RNA", at positions 1299 to 1458 of the family's 1831-position model. The record is from RNAcentral.
UGGUGGAGUGAUUUGUCUGGUUAAUUCCGUUAACGAACGAGACCUCGACCUGCUAAAUAGUUCCUAUACAUCUUGUAUGUAUAUCAUUAGGUGACUUCUUAGAGGGACUAUCGGUGUGUAGCCGAUGGAAGUUCGAGGCAAUAACA